GCGCCCUCCUCUCUUCUCCCGCGGCCUCCCCCCUACCCCCUUUCCACCGCCCAGCAGCGCCCGCCGUCUCCCCGAACCCUAGCUCCGCCGCCGCGGAGGGCUACCACCUCCCCGACCUCACCGUCCUCGGCCGCCACCUCAAGUCCCCCUGUAAGACCCACGCCGUCCUCGUCCUCUCCACCGGCGGCGCCCCUUCCUCU
This 200-nucleotide long non-coding RNA is filed under the name Hordeum vulgare. RNAcentral's name for it is "long non-coding RNA (HVUL_LNC002741)". The record is from RNAcentral. Lineage: Eukaryota; Viridiplantae; Streptophyta; Magnoliopsida; Poales; Poaceae.